RNAcentral lists this long non-coding RNA (7786 nucleotides) under Triticum aestivum (bread wheat). RNAcentral's name for it is "long non-coding RNA (TAES_LNC014635)". Lineage: Eukaryota; Viridiplantae; Streptophyta; Magnoliopsida; Poales; Poaceae. The record is from RNAcentral.
ACGGAUUAGUAGUAGCAGGACGGUCGCAGCGGACGGAGCUCGUCGGCGGCCGUAGGUGCGGGGAAGAACCCGAUCCCGAUGGUCGAGGGGGCCCGAGCUCGAUCUUGUCGAUGGGGAGGACGCAGUCGACGACGUUGGUGUAGACGGACAAGUUGGAGAGGCAUGGGGGAGACGGUCGCCGUGGUGGUGGCCAACGACUGCGACGUAGGCGCUCGGGUGAGCCAAGAGAACGACGAGGGAGAGAGAGAAGAUGGAUCUGGGAGGGAGGGCGCCGAGGAGGAGUGAGGCGAGUGGGAAGAAAAUAUCUGGGGGGAGGGGCGCCUCGGUGAAGGCCUUAUCCUCCCACGGCAUGGCCGGCGAGGUGAUUCGACGGCGACGCGAUCCUGUUCGGGCACGGUCGUGAAUAGAAGAAGACGACCGGGGGUUAGGUGGGCUGACUUGGGUGAGGCCCAGUGGGGGCACGUGCUCUCUCUUCCUUUUCUUCUUCUCGGUUUUCUUUUUAUUAUUCUGUUUUCUUUUAACAGCCUCCAUUUGCAUUUAAAUAAGCCACCAAAUGACUUUGCAAAAAUGUGGAGUUGGACAAAACAAAUACUAGGAAAUAUUGAGCACUGCCACAAAAAGCUUGACAACUAAAAAAUUUAGUUUAAUAUUUUAUAAUUUAUAAAAGGCAUUUAAUUAUUGUUUUUAGCCACUAAUAUAUAUACUUGGGAGCAAUUAAAGACUUUAAAACAAUGUUGGAUCACCACCAUAAAUAAUGAUGGAAUAUUUGCAACACUUUGAACAUUUUAUUUUGCAUGUUUGAGAAAUUUGAAUUUUGCACUUUAGUUUGAACUUGAAUUUGGAUUGCGAUUUUUAUCAACCGCGGAUUAGUAAUAGUAAAGUGAUGACAUGGCACCAUUAACGAGGAUUUACUGUAGUUUAAUUAUCCGGGCGUCACAAUUCUCCUCCACUACAAGAAAUCUCGUCCCGAGAUUUAGGAGGGGAGUACGGGGGAAAGACUAGGUUGCGAAAUUCUAAUGGGUCUUCUCGGUCUUUGUUGCACUUCCCGAAGUAGUUGAUCCUUUCCGUUGAUGUCUUCAUUCCUAUGCUUCAGUCAUCAUGAUGAAGCCGGCAUCCCUUCUUCAGGAUCGCCAUCGUAUGUACGAAAAUUAUAAGGGGUAGCUUCGAAAGGACCGACCUCUACAAGGUUGCUUAUCUGGUAGAUGACAUCAGGGAAAGUGGGGGAAAGUAACUCUCGAAUUGAAACUUAAGAAAUUUUCAAGAGCAAAAUAAGAAGGGGCAAAAUAGAAGUUUCAAGCACAUAGGCAAUCGUUCAUUGCCCAAAACGAAGUGUUAAAGGGGUUCAGAGCAAUGGGAAUAAGUAUUGCGUCUGAUGCCAGAAUUGAUGAUCUCUCGGAAGGUGGCUCAUGAAUUACAUACGAGGCCACGCACGAGGAACAACCUUGGGAACAAGGGGUGUACAGGAGAGUCAGGUUUCGAUCAUGUGGAAUUGUGGGUUAUGGGCCCACCAUGUGGGUUAAAAGUAGAAAGGGCGGUGAUAUUUUGCACAGUCAUGAUAACAAGGCAUGUCAGAGGAUAGCCCGUCAUUUAUGUCAACAAUAACAUCGGUACCAAGGGCGAGGGACGAAGAGAACCAUUUUCCUGCUUGUUGAAUGAGGCGGACCAAUAGGCAAAGUUCUCGUCCAUCGGUGGUUACCGGAAUGCUACCAACAAAAGCAACAGGGUCUUAUUGACACGGUUGUACACCAAGGUGUUUACAUAAGCAGAAGAACAUUACUGCUUAGAUCAUAUAGAUCACCAGAAAGGUUAAACAAAACAAUGGAAUGGAAAAUGUGAUCAUCAGAUUAACAGAACAAUGGAAAAGAACAUGUGUUUAAACACAUAUUUCAAGGGUAUAUCCUUCCCAAGGACAAGCAGAUGAUAUCCAUGACAGGAUAGAAGGUAGAAAACCAUUUAGGAAAGGGAAGAGAACUUUAAAGACAUUACCCAUACAGAGGUGUUUGGAUAAUUGAGCAGGAAACAUUUAACAUUAGGCUUUAAAUGUUCUUGUUGAAAAUAGGAGUACCAUAUAUAUGCUUCGAGAUAGCAUGGACAUGGUCUUCAUGCAAAGGUCAGACUUUGGAAACACAAAGGAUCCAUCAGGAAUAACUUGUAGAAUAAGUCUUACAAUUUCCUCAUGGAAGAAUGGAUAACCUUGCUGAAAAGGAAUCUAUAACCAUAGGGCCUCCAGCCGGGUGUGCUAAGCACGACAUCCUUGAUAUAAAAGAUGGUAAUACUCCAAGGUAAAGAAGACCAAAUGUUGGAUAGCAAGGAACUCAAGGUAUAACACAGAACAUGAACAAGUUUGUGUUGGAGGGAAGGCAAUAAAGUUGUCGAUGAUAACACAAUUCAUCGAGGGGCAAGGAUGGUAUUUCUCAUCAUGAAUUCGAUUGAUAUCCUAGAAGAGCUCAUAAGAUUGAUGAUGAUCAUGACACAAUUGUUGAGAGAUUUCAUGAAGAUGUAAUCGGUCGGCGAUGACAUCAAGUCAAAUGAUGGUGCAGCGAAAGUCAAAUAAUACUUGAAGAAGGACUCAUAAGACGUUAUGCAGUUCCGUGAUAAUCUCGAGAUACCAGAGGGGGUAAUACUCGAUGACAGAUCAAAGUAGAGGUUGGACUGGGGUAUUGCUCUACAGAAGAGAAGCGCUUAAACUUGCACAUGAAAUGGUAUUUAAAGGAGAACAUGGUCGGAACCACGAUUGCAAAAGGCCAGAUCCCAGAUAUGAGAUGAACUUAUACCAAGGGGAUAAUUAAUGUAAGAGAAGCUUCAAUGAUAAGAUCUACAUCGUUUUCAUGGGCAUGAACACAAGGUUCAAGGUCGACUCCCACUUCUUCAAUGUAUAACCUUCCAUUCACUUCUCGCUUUUUGAAAAUGACAUUAGUUGUUGAAAGUUUUACCUGGUGCAAUACCAGAUAAGUAUGACCCGUGAAAUCUUUCGGGUUCACAUGGAUUAGGGAAGGCGUAGGUUCAACCCAUCAGGGCAUCUUAGGAACAUAUACCACAAACUUCGGAGUAAAUAAUACAAGUUCGAAAGUAGAGCAUGGUUCACAAAGCAGAGGAUACAAUUUACCAAAGGCAUUAUGUAUCCAAAGAAAAGCUCACAAUGUUUAAUGAAUAUGAAGGACGAUGUCGAAUAAAAUCCAACAAAGGAUCUAGUGGUCCACAAGGGAUCUAAUGUGAGCAUCGGUACUCAACCAGAGGAAGAAAAAGGUAAGAAGAUCAGACCAUAGAAACAACUGACUAAUUUAAGCUCAAAUGCAACGGAAUUAUGAUUUUUAAAUCAAGGGAUCAGAAGCAACACUCUGAUUAGGGUUGGAUAAGUUGAGUCGCUUUAGGGGUACAAUCAACAACUAUUUGAAUGGUCGAAACCAGCUCAUGUUUGGGAAGACAUCCGAGCCGAAAAGAUAAUUUAUAAGGAUCAACUGAUGAUUGCGUGCAUUCGCACACAUGCUGAAUCAAUAUGGUCAGAAUGUUCAUCACAAGGAUUUUAACGAAUAUUGCUUGACAUAUGGAAUUAACCAUUAUGCAAGCAGGUAAAGAAGAUCAAGAGCAAUAGGCUACUGAGGAUUUCGGAAGAUCGAAUGGCAUUUCGAAGAAUUUUGCGAAAUACCUGAACAACUGGAGAUGAACGAAUCCCCGGCAAAUGCGAGGAAUUAUUCAUACAUGUAUUCAUGAGGAAAAGGAGCCGCAAGACAGUAGACACAAAGGAUCCUCAGAAUAUCCGAAGUAUUUCAGUGUAUAUUGUAAUAACAACAACAACUGGAAAUGAAGUUAUGGACGACAAGUGUAUGUAGCCUUCCAUAGGGAUUUAUCGGUGGUAUGGAAGUGCAACGGCGAAGGGCGCAAGGGUCUCAGGGAAACAUCGGAGAGUAUCUUCAAAAUAUUCUGGUGCAGCCAGCGAUCAUCUGGACUGAAAAGGCUCUCCGGGAGAAAGUAAUUACAAGAACCUAAUGUUAGAGUUUUAGUAAAUUCAUUUAACCCGAAUAGAAGAGAUGUCAGAGUCCCAGAGUAUAGGUCAAGGAAUAAAAGAUCCUACUACCACCCAAUGGCGACGUGGGCCCGUAAGCCGCACAGCCAUGUUAGUAAAAGUUUUGCAAUGACUAGACUCAACUUCGGCCAAAGAGUGUGGAAGGGGGAUUCCUACAGGUAGUCGGCUCUGAUACUAACUUGUGACGCCCCCGAUUCGAUCGUACACUAAUCAUACACGCAAACGUGUACGAUCAAGAUCAGGGACUCAUGGGAAGAUAUCACAACACAACUCUACAAAUAAAAUAAGUCAUACAAGCAUCAUAUUACAAGCCAGGGGCCUCGAGGGCUCGAAUACAAGGGCUCGAUUAUAGACGAGUCAACGGAAGCAACAAUAUCUGAGUACAGACAUAAGUUAAACAAGUUUGCCUUAAGAAGGCUAGCACAAACUGGGAUACAGAUCGAAAGAGGCGCAGGCCUCCUGCCUGGGAUCCUCCUAACUACUCAUGGUCGUCGUCAGCGGGCUGCACGUAGUAGUAGGCACCUCCGGUGUAGUAGGAGUCGUCGUCGACGGUGGCGUCUGGCUCCUAGACUCCAGCAUCUGGUUGCGACAACCAGGUAGAAGGGAAAGGAGGAAAAGAAGGAGAAAGCAACCAUGAGUACUCAUCCCAAAUACUCGCAAGCAAGGAGCUACACUACAUAUGCAUGGGUAUAUGUGUAAAGGCCAUAUCGGUGGACUGAACUGCAGAAUGCCAGAAUAAGAGGGGAUAGCUAAUCCUGUCGAAGACUACGCUUCUGGCAGCCUCCGUCUUGCAGCAUGUAGAAGAGAGUAGAUUGAAGUCCUCCAAGUAGCAUCGCAUAGCAUAACCCUAAACGAUGAUCCUCCGCUCGUCGCCCUGUGAGAGAGCGACCACCGGUAGUAUCUGGCACUUGGAAGGGUGUGUUUUAUUAAGUAUCCGGUUCUAGUUGUCAUAAGGUCAAGGUACAACUCCAAGUCGUCCUGUUACCGAAGAUCACGGCUAUUCGAAUAGAUUAACUUCCCUGCAGGGGUGCACCACAUAACCCAACACGCUCGAUCCCAUUUGGCCGGACACACUUUUCUGGGUCAUGCCCGGCCUCGGAAGAUCAACACGUCGCAGCCCUACCUAGGCACAACAGAGAGGUCAGCACGCCGGUCUAAAUCCUAUGACGCAGGGGUAUGGGCCCAUCGCCCAUUGCAUACCUGCACGUUGCGUACGCGGCCGGAAGCAGAACUAGCCCCCUUAAUACAAGAGCAGGCUUACGGUCCAAUCCGGCGUGCGCCACUCAGUCGCUGACGUCACGAAGGCUUCGACUGAUACCACGACGUCGAGUGCCCAUAACUGUCCCCGCGUAGAUGGUUAGUGCGUAUAGGCCAGUAGCCAGACUCAGAUCAAAUACCAAGAUCUCGUUAAACGUGUUAAGUAUCCGCGAACACCGACCAGGGCCAGGCCCACCUCUCUCCUAGGUGGUCUCAACCUGCCAUGUCGCUCCGCCACAAAGUAACAGUCGGGGGCCAUCGAAAACCCAGGCCCACCUCUACCGGGAUGGAGCCACCUGCCCCUUCAGCCCCCAACUCCGAACAGUAUCACCGGUAAUGUAACGGUGUAAAGUAUAUAGUAUAUGCCCGUGAUCACCUCCCGAAGUGACCACGGCUCAGUAGUAUAGCAUGGUAGACGGACAAGAGUGUAGGGCCACUGAUGGAACACUAGCAUCCUAUACUAAGCAGUAGGAUAGCAGGUAAAGGUAACAAUAGUAGUAGCAAGGGCAGGCUAUGCAACAGUAUAGGAUUAACUGAAAGCAGUAACAUGCUACACUACUCUAAUGCAAGCAGUAUAGAGAAGAAUAGGUGAUAUCUGGUGAUCAAGGGGGGCUUGCCUGGUUGCUCUGGCAAGGAGGGGUUGUCAACAUCGUAGUCGAUCGGGGGUACCGGCAGCGGUCUCGGGUCUACCGGAAAUAAGUAACGGAGGGGGGACACAAUAAAUAACAGAGCAAACAAAGUAACACAAAGCAUAACAUGGAAAUGCGUGGUGUUAGGGGUGACCUAACGAAGUAUGAGGUGAUACCGAUGAAGGGGGGAAACAUCCGAGAAAAUAUCUGAUGUUUCGCUUUUUCGGACAGAUGAAUCGGAGGGGGAAAGUUGCGUGUUCGCUAUGCUAGGGAUGCGCGGCAGACGAAUGGGCUGCGUAUCCGGAUUCGUCUCGUCGUUCUGAGCAACUUUCAUGUACAAAGUAUUUUCAUCCGUGCUAUGGUUAAUUUUAUAUUGAAUUUCAAAGUUUUAAUUGAUUUUCUAAAAUUAUUAUUAUUUCGAAAAUAAACAGUAAAUGCUACGGGUACAUAGAAGUGUACCAACAUUGUGCACAUGUGGCUGACAGAUGGGGCCAUAGGGCCCAGUUGACCAGGUCAAUCGAGACUAGUCAACCAAUGAAUAGUAGAAAUGGGUCCGCAUGUCAUUGACUCUAAGUUUAGUAGUUUAGGAAAUCUUGCUUAAUUAACAGCGGGGCCCAUUUGUCAUAGACUUAGCCGUUUUAGAACAACUAACUAAAGCUAAUAAACAGAGUGGACCACUUGUCAUUUGUUAUUAUACUAAUUGAGCACUAAAGUAUUACUAACUAAACUAAACAAGGGCCGGCCCGGUGGCACAACCGUGAGGCUGGUUGUGCACACACGCACAGACCACACACGACAUGCAACACACUAUGCUAGGUGUUAAUUAUGUUCUCUAUUGACAGAAGAUAGCAAUUUGUGAUUUUCAUAUGAUUUCAUCCAGGCAUCAAAUGGAUUUGGUCCAAUGAACACAUUUGAGCCUUAUCAAGUGUACUACCUACUCAUAUUAUUUUCACACAUACUAACAACUAUUUAACUGGUGAUUAGGGGGUUAAUCAGUGUAAAAUCCCUAAAGCUAGCCAUAUAGCUACACUAAUUAGCAGCAACAGCAGAUUCAGUAGAGCAGCAGGUUGCAGCACAGGCAGCAGUGCUACGAGCAGCAGCAGGUGAUGGUGAGGCCACGCACGGGCGUGCGGGCAAGGGCGCGCUGGGCGCAGGCGGUCGCGGCCAGGACGCGCGAAGCAGGCGUGGGGCGGCUACAGGAUGCAGUCCAAGGACGUGGCCACGGCGGGUGCCAGCAGAGACAGGGCGCGGUGGGCGGCAACGCAGGAAGCGGCGAUGUGUGGGGUUCGCGUGCAUGUGAGGGCCACGACAGGGGCGCAUGACCGCGCGCGGGAGCGGAGCUCCAGCCAUGGCGUCCGAAACACCGGCCGACGAUGAGCAGCGGCAGCAGGACGGUGGGCUCGGUGGAGGCACCGCCACGCGCGGGCGAGCACGCACGGGGACGCGGUCGGGUGCAGCCGGUCAUGGCCAGAGACCAACGGAGCACGGGUGAGGGAGUCGUGCUAGCGGCCAUAGGCUACGACAACAAGCGGAAGAUGCGCUAAUGGACCGAAUCCAACGGGGAAGAGGAGGAGAAGGAGUAGAGGCUCACGAUGUGGCACAAGAAAGGCCGGCGACGGAUUAGUAGUAGCAGGACGGUCGCAGCGGACGAAGCUCGUCGGUGGCCGUAGGUGCGGGGAAGAACCCGAUCCCGAUGGUCGAGGGGGUCCGAGCUCGAUCUUGUGGAUGGGGAGGACGCAGUCGACGAUGUUGGUGCAGACGGACAAGUUGGAGAGGCACGGGGGAGACGGUCGCCGCGGUGGUGGCCAACGACUGCGACGUAGACGCUUGGGUGAGCCAAGAGGACGACGAGGGAGAGAGAGAAGAUGGAUCUGGG